Molecule: long non-coding RNA, 565 nt
Organism: Vigna angularis (adzuki bean)
Lineage: Eukaryota; Viridiplantae; Streptophyta; Magnoliopsida; Fabales; Fabaceae
Exons: 4
Source: RefSeq, a predicted model, not a curated record
UCAAGUGAGAAACCUUGAGAAAUAGAGAAGAAAGAGUUAGGAAGAAAUCUUUAGUUGCAAGAAGAGUAGAGCCUUUAGAGGGUUUUCGGGGAAAACAAAUUCGGAGCAAGAGAAGUUUGGAAUAGAGGCACCGUAGAAGCACUUCUGGCGUCAAGGGCUUCAGUUUGAACCGAUAGGUUUCGAGUUCUGAACUGUUUUUGAAGAACUGUUGAGCGUUGAGGGUAGAAGGAAUUUUAGUCAGACAAACCUUAAUUCUGCCUCUAGGAACGUUCGUUCACGCUCAGAGAAGGAGACGAGUUGCUGAAAGAGGCGCUGGAGGAAGAAAACCUAGUUGAGGUUGAAGUUAAGACCGAACAGUAGGACGUUCGGUCAGUAGUUUAGUUUUAUAGUGAGGUGGUCGUUCGAUCACCUUCCCCUUUUGAUUUGUAUGACCGUCCGGUAUUUGGCUUUUAUAAACCGUUCGGUCAGAAGUGUACCCUUGUAUAGUUGAAUUUUCUCACACUACUUGAUAAGGCCGUUCGGCCAUAACCGUACGUUCUCCUUAGUGUAAGACUGAUCUAAAUUA